This 779-nucleotide ribosomal RNA is filed under the name uncultured Neocallimastigales. RNAcentral describes it as "partial large subunit ribosomal RNA". It matches the Rfam family "Eukaryotic large subunit ribosomal RNA", at positions 24 to 649 of the family's 3401-position model. Lineage: Eukaryota; Fungi; Neocallimastigomycota; Neocallimastigomycetes; Neocallimastigales. The record is from RNAcentral.
UAUCUCUGUAGAGUCUGCAUAUCAAUAAGCGGAGGAAAAGAAACUAACUAAGGAUUCCCUCAGUAACGGCGAGUGAAGCGGGAAGAGCUCAAAUUUGAAAUCUUCAAGGUUCUACCUUGACGAAUUGUAGUUUAAAGAAGUGUUUUCUGUUGAAGUUUUGGUAAAAGUUCUUUGGAAUAGGACAUCAUAGAGGGUGAGAAUCCCGUAUUUGACCAUUAUUUUCCAGCUGUGUGAUACACUUUCAAAGAGUCGGAUUCGUUUGGGAAUGCAGUCCAAAAUGGGUGGUAAAUUUCAUCUAAAGCUAAAUACUGGCGAGAGACCGAUAGCGAACAAGUACCGUGAGGGAAAGAUGAAAAGAACUUUGAAAAGAGAGUUAAACAGUACGUGAAAUUGUCAAAAGGGAAGCGUUUGACACCAGUGUUGUUUUCUCGAAAAUCAAUUAAAAAUGGCGGGAUUUUGUGUUGUAUUGACCUUUAUCAAGCUUUCUUCACUUUUUUCCUGUCUUUUUUAAUGCACUUUUCGUUUAACAAGUCAGCAUCAGAUUCUUUUGUUGUAAAAGGGUCAUUGGAAGGUGCCUUUCUUUUCGGAGAAAGUGUUUAUAGCCUUUGACUUCUGCAAUCGGAGAGAUUGAGGUCUGCAGCGUAGAUCCUUCGGGGUUAGAUACAUUUGUGCUAAGCUAUAGCCUUUCAUAGACAACUUGUUGACUAUGAUCAGUCAUGUAGCUUACUCGCUUAUGUCAUUUUACCUACGCUUAGGAUGUUGAGUAGCGACAUACGCAC